This 3765-nucleotide ribosomal RNA is filed under the name Triticum aestivum (bread wheat). Its description in RNAcentral is "partial small subunit ribosomal RNA". The record is from RNAcentral. Lineage: Eukaryota; Viridiplantae; Streptophyta; Magnoliopsida; Poales; Poaceae.
UUUUGCAAAGCAAGACGGGUCCGAGUGGGCAGCAACCUUAAAGAUGGGGCUCUUGCGCUCCCAAAGGAGGCGCCGGCGGCGGCGGCGCUGGGGUAUAGGGCGGUGAGGUACCGGGGUCAGGAGCGAGGCGUCGGCGGUUUAGGCCUGCUCAAGCAGCGGGAAACGCGGCGGUGGGGCCGUCGGGGAGAGCAGCCGCUGAUGGUGCCCACGCGGAGGGAGAGGGAGCUCUGAGGUAGAGCUGGAGCUCCGAGGUCGCGCUGCGGUGGAGGACGGCUGGCGCUGAGGGAGGUCGCGACGGCUGCAGCGGGAAACGCAGCGGUGGGGCCGUCGGGGAGAGCGGUUGCUGGUGGUGCCCCCGCGGAGGGAGAGGGACCUCCGAGGUAGAGGGGUCGCCGGAAGGGAGGAAACGGGGCUCAGGUCCUGGUGGUCAAACCAGUUUAAGGGACAUCGGCGGCCAGUACUAGCCGGCGUGGCGGCGGGGACCAGCUGCGAUUGCGGCGCCGCCUGUCGCCCGACGACACUACUACGUGGCCCCACAUCGCGUCGAGCCUCCGGACCGACGACACCACCACAACCAGCACCACCUGCCCCUUGGCCGCCGUCCCUUCGGGACUGAAGACAUACGUUACGGCUGGAAUUACUGUCUACAAAGACACAAACAAGACCACGGCACCGACGAAACUACGUAGUUUAGGGAGACGAAGGGCCGCGGAGAGGUAGAGAAGGUCUAACUAAAUGUUGACCCUGGCAGGGAUUGUUUCAGACGUGUAGCUAGACGACAUUGUAACCGACCCAAAAGAGAGGAGCUGAGAUGAUUGUGAGACCUCAAUGUUCGUUAAUGUAGUCCAUCUAUAUAGAUACAAAAUGUUGACCCUGACAGGGAUUGUUUCAGACGUGUAGCUAGACGACAUUGUAACCGACCCAAAAGAGAGGAGCUGAGAUGAUUGUGAGGCCUCAAUGUUCAUCUAUAUAGAUACAAGAAAAAAACGUAACUCGACGUAACUAAAAUAAACAUUUGCCCCUCUCCGUCCACUCGACGGUCGUGUAGAACCGGUGGUGACUAAAUGCCUGUUCUGCUUAUCUAUACGUCUGAUUCGAGGUCCCUAAAGCCAUCAUGUACGGUACAAAUAGGAGUGACGACUUAUUAGAUAUAUAUUGAUAAAAACGUUAUGAACCUGGUGUCCUCGUUAAGCAAGAAAUAUAAAACGAGCCCUAACACGGAAAGUAUUAUCUUCCCAUUCUACAUAGCGUUAUAGAAACUGAACGUAAGAGACACUACACUUCAUUCUUUUAUCUUAUAUAUUAUAAUUUAAUAGAAAAAGGAAAAAAAUUACAGGGAUAGAAUGAGUAUAUUAGGUUAACCGUAAGUGAUCUCAAAGACAACUACUUUGUAAACAAAACACUACAGUCCUCCAAAAGAAACACUGAAAAGUUAGUUAUAAACAUCUAUGCCAAGCAUCUAGUACUAUAGACGUGUUAGAGAUAGAUGCAGGACACUAAUAUAUAACAUAAUUACCCAACACAGUCCGAAUAAAAUAGUUGACGAACCAACAACUGGAUGUAAUGCCAAAUUAAGAAUGUCGUCAAAUACAACUGAGCUAAGGGACAUCAUCCAACUCUCCGAAGAGCAGAGUACUAAAUGAGACUAGUCAAACGAAACGAGGUACGAGGAGUACUAAAGAAACUUAAAAAGACAUCCUCGAGUUAGUUUUUAGUGGAUUCGUUUAUACAGCAGGAAGAGAUGUUCCCAACCUACACCUUAAACUCCUCUUAGACACGUGGUCGUAACCUGAGGAACUACAACGAGACUAGUAUAACACAUUUAUAUAAAGAUCAUUUCGUUAACGAGCUACCACAUGUACAAUCUUUAUUGUUCUACAUUAGUAGUUCACACUCUCUACCGUUGUAGUCCUACCCUACCAUACAUGACAACACGAGUAGUUAUCCAAUCAGAAAGUAAGACAACGUCGGUCAUACAAAAAAGAAUACCUUUGUUAGUUCUUUAUAGAUUAAAGAUACAUGUAGGUUUAUAUAUAUUCACCGAUAAUAAUUGUACCUCAAAUCUAAACAAUUGCCAGUGACGCAAACCAGAUAGGGCUCGGAGACUAACACUAAGCACAAGAAAACUAUACGUGAACGGUACUAUAACACCGACCUGAAGACCAUACACAAUGGAGAUUAUUUACAACGUCUCGAGGGAGAGGAGACGAACUAAAAGGAAAAAACCUAAAAGUAGUCGAACGAAGCAAGAAGCCAGCUGCCGUAGUGUCAUGGGGACAGAUACACCUGUUACGGAUUAUAUGAAGGUGACCUACCGCUGGUCCGGUCCUUCCCUCACCUGAACACGACGAGUGCCGAAACGAGGAGAUAAGGGAGGAAAAGGAAACUACAAAGCUUUGUAGAACCUCAUCACCUACCUAGUCUAUACCGGGUCAUCGUGACCACCAAAAUGACACGUCCUUGUCAAGUUGUACAUCAAGAACUACCCUAAAUCAUUAAAACCCAACAACUCGUUCUAGCACCUUCGAUUACGACGACUAAGUACACGUUAAUAAUAGGAAAAAAAAGAAAGAAUCUAAAAACUCCAAAAAGAAUCUACAAAAAAAUCUAUUCUACAGAUCUCUAAAGUUGAACCAGUUAAGUAUACGAAUUGAUUAUAAAAUCUAUUGCCUUCUAACGAGGACGCCGACAACGUAGCAAGGUAUAAAAUAUAACGGACUUGUACAAAAAAGAAAACGGACUAGGAUGAAACAAUUUGUAGAAAAGGGUCAAUUCACCGAGCCGAAACGAUAACAAAGAGAACCAAAGUGAGACGUAUAGUUUUAGAGAAAAUGCAUGAUACGUAAAUACGAGAUAGACGUGACAUUAAGUUGUACAGAAGGAAGGCCAAUGUCGAUUAUGGAGACAGAGUUCGCAUAUAAUAACUUCAUUACGAAAAACUAACUAAUAUAUUAACAUAUAACAAGAAAGUGAUAGAGUAUCCUUUAGUCUUCUGGUGAAAACCUAUUCAACCUACCAUCCAGAAAGAGACCUUGACAAAUAGUAGACGUUUUUUUAAACCGACUAGUCUCGAGUCUUCGUUACUCCUUGUACUUCGUCGUUUCUAUUACUCACUGCCACCACCGACCUGCAGGGGCGGUACUUCUACUCGCCUUCCUCGUUCUCGUGUAGACUUCUACCCCUCCCCACCUCCACCGCCAAGACUUAAACUUCUGCCACGGCACUCCUCAUCGUCCUCCUCGUCGGCGGCUGCCGGACCGACGUACACAAUAGAAGUUAGAAGCCACAUACCUAGUUGUGUCUUGAUAUUCCAAAACGCUCCUUAGUUCCGAACAAAAGAGACAUAGUACUAUUCCAGUUCGUUUACUGUAUGGUCUAGUUAAAAUAACAUCCAGGACUUAUAUUUAGAUGAUUGUUUAAGACGCUAAGAAACGAAGGUUUUCUACUUGGAUUUGAACGUUAAGGAGAUGAUGACGGGUAACGGGUCAUGUCCAGGUUCUCUUGUUAUAAACGUAAGACUUACAGACGGACGUGUGUUGGUCCAAGAGAUCUACUCACACACAUGUUGUGAUGUUGGACGUUUUAUCUAAAAGGUGCACGAACAACAGUUAUAAACGCCAUGUUAAACUUUAAGUAUUACGUGGUUUCAAUAACACCACACUACUAGACUAAAUUUCGAAAAUUCAUUACCUAAUAUGUUUAGUCGUACACUUAAACAUGAGUUCUAGCACUAAGUAGGGCUCCCUACGUAGUAAAUAUCAACUU